GUAUUGUAUUGCGUUAAACGCGACAUACAUUCCAUGAGACUGUAUUACGGUGUGUGUGUAAAGACGUAGGACCACGGCAAGAGGACAGAGUCCCCAAUGCCACAGAACUACAGAGGGUGCACAGGUGUGAGUGGAUGUGUAAACAGAGCGUGCACAUGCCCCCUUUCGAGGACCAGCAACAACUCGUGUCGACAGUUCAGUAAUGAUCCUUCCGCAGGUUCACCUACGGAAA
RNAcentral lists this unclassified non-coding RNA (232 nucleotides) under uncultured fungus. RNAcentral describes it as "sequence contains ITS1". Lineage: Eukaryota; Fungi. The record is from RNAcentral.